Molecule: ribosomal RNA, 301 nt
Filed under: uncultured bacterium
Lineage: Bacteria
Description: partial 16S ribosomal RNA
Rfam family: Bacterial small subunit ribosomal RNA
Source: RNAcentral
CAGUAGCCGCGGGAAUACAGAGGGUGCGAGCGUUAAUCGGAUUUACUGGGCGUAAAGCGUGCGUAGGCGGCUUCUUAAGUCGGAUGUGAAAUCCCUGAGCUUAACUUAGGAAUUGCAUUCGAUACUGGGAAGCUAGAGUAUGGGAGAGGAUGGUAGAAUUCCAGGUGUAGCGGUGAAAUGCGUAGAGAUCUGGAGGAAUACCGAUGGCGAAGGCAGCCAUCUGGCCUAAUACUGACGCUGAGGUACGAAAGCAUGGGGAGCAAACAGGAUUAGAUACCCCGGUAGUCCCUGUCUCUUAUCC